ACUCAAAUGAAUAGACGGGGACCCGCACAAGCGGUGGAGCAUGUGGUUUAAUUCGAGGCAACGCGAAGAACCUUACCAGGCCUUGACAUGUCCCUUUGGGGCUCCAGAGACGGAGCCUUUCGGUUCGGCCGGGGGGAACACAGGUGCUGCAUGGCUGUCGUCAGCUCGUGUCGUGAGAUGUUGGGUUAAGUCCCGCAACGAGCGCAACCCUCAUUCUUAGUUGCCAGCGGUUCGGCCGGGCACUCUAAGAGAACUGCCGGGGUUAACCCGGAGGAAGGUGGGGAUGACGUCAAGUCUUCAUGGCCCUUACGGCCUGGGCUACACACGUGCUACAAUGGCGGUGACAGAGGGACGCUACUGCGCGAGCAGAUGCCAAUCUCAAAAAACCGCCUCAGUUCAGAUUGCAGGCUGCAACUCGCCUGCAUGAAGUUGGAAUCGCUAGUAAUCGCGGAUCAGAACGCCGCGGUGAAUACGUUCCCGGGUCUUGCACACACCGCCCGU
RNAcentral lists this ribosomal RNA (501 nucleotides) under uncultured bacterium. Its description in RNAcentral is "partial 16S ribosomal RNA". It matches the Rfam family "Bacterial small subunit ribosomal RNA", at positions 899 to 1397 of the family's 1533-position model. The record is from RNAcentral.